ACGUAGGUGGCGAGCGUUAUCCGGAUUUACUGGGCGUAAAGCGUGUGCAGGCGGGCUGUCAAGUGGUGCAUGAAAUCGCUCGGCUUAACCGGGCGGGGUUGUGCCAGACUGGCAGGCUAGAGUGCGGGAGAGGGAUGCGGAAUUCCAGGUGUAACGGUGAAAUGCGUAGAUAUCUGGAGGAACACCGGUGGCGAAGGCGGCAUCCUGGACCGGCAUUGACGCUGAGGCGCGAAAGCUAGGGGAGCAAACGGGA
This 253-nucleotide ribosomal RNA is filed under the name uncultured prokaryote. Its description in RNAcentral is "partial 16S ribosomal RNA". It matches the Rfam family "Bacterial small subunit ribosomal RNA", at positions 525 to 777 of the family's 1533-position model. The record is from RNAcentral.